GGGGGUAUAGCUCAGCGGUAGAGCGCUGUCUUUGCACGGCAGAUGCCGGCGGUUCAAGCCCGCUUACCUCCA
Molecule: transfer RNA, 72 nt
Filed under: Cryptomonas sp. SAG 977-2f
Lineage: Eukaryota; Cryptophyceae; Cryptomonadales; Cryptomonadaceae
Description: tRNA-Ala
Rfam family: tRNA
About the family: Transfer RNA (tRNA) molecules are approximately 80 nucleotides in length. Their secondary structure includes four short double-helical elements and three loops (D, anti-codon, and T loops). Further hydrogen bonds mediate the characteristic L-shaped molecular structure. tRNAs have two regions of fundamental functional importance: the anti-codon, which is responsible for specific mRNA codon recognition, and the 3' end, to which the tRNAs corresponding amino acid is attached (by aminoacyl-tRNA synthetases). tRNAs cope with the degeneracy of the genetic code in two manners: having more than one tRNA (with a specific anti-codon) for a particular amino acid; and 'wobble' base-pairing, i.e. permitting non-standard base-pairing at the 3rd anti-codon position.
Source: RNAcentral